Bos taurus (domestic cattle) is the source of this 924-nucleotide long non-coding RNA. Lineage: Eukaryota; Metazoa; Chordata; Mammalia; Artiodactyla; Bovidae. The record is from Ensembl.
GGUAUGCCAAGCUUUUCAUCUUAACAGCCCCCACCUGAGGGCUUUCUCUGGCUCUGUAGCAUCUGGGCUGGGCACAGGUGCAGCCUAUAAGGGUGGGAUUGGUUUCGUGCUCAACCCUCAGCCAAUGAGGGCUAAAAGUUAGUAGAUAAAUACCCUUCCUCCCAGGCCUCACGCACGUAGGUUUUGGGGCAUGUGUUACAGAAGUCUUGGAGGGUCUCAGCAGCAUUGUGCUCCUGGCAUUUGUUAGGCAAUCUGCUCAGCAAUGCACCCUUAUGUGAUUUUUUCUUUUCCCCACUUCCUCACUGGUGCCUUCUGGGACCACUUCUCAAAUUGACUGCCUAUAGCUUUAUCUUAAGGUUUGCUUUUGGGGGAAACAUAAGAUGCUAUUACACAGCCAUAAACUUUUUUUUGACUCUGUGUAUAGUGGAACCAGUUUCCAUCAAUUUUUUAAAAAUUACCUUAUUAUUUAUUUUUGGUUGCCCUGGGUCUUUGUGGCUGAGUGCGGGCUUUCUCUAAUUGUGGUGAAUAUUUUUACAAUAUUGAUAAAUGGGCCCAAAGUGUAAGACACUGCUUAUGAAAACAAUUACAUGAAAAGUAGAAUGUGCAUCAUGAAGAGCCCAAGAAACACUAGAGCAGUGGCCUGCAGGCUACCACCUGAAGCUUAAAAGUUGCUACUUGAGAUUUGGAUCAAAGUAGCAAGCUAUCGCAUCAUCAGUAAUAUAGAUAUGAAUUUAAUACAGCUGACAAUAUGGCUACACCUCUCUUGGAGCUUUGAGGAAUGAAGAAUACAAAAACAAGCCAAUAGCUAUUAUUUUCCUAUAUCCCUGUGCAUCCCUUUAACAUCAAAAUCCUUUGCUAAUGUCAUAACACUCUUCUUGUUCCCCUUUUUCAAACUCUUCAGUUUAACUACUUUGUAGUCCCAGA